Molecule: ribosomal RNA, 253 nt
Filed under: uncultured bacterium
Lineage: Bacteria
Description: partial 16S ribosomal RNA
Rfam family: Bacterial small subunit ribosomal RNA
Source: RNAcentral
UACGUAGGGGGCUAGCGUUGUCCGGAAUCAUUGGGCGUAAAGCGCGUGUAGGCGGUCCGGUAAGUCCGCUGUGAAAGUCGGGGGCUCAACCCUCGGAUGCCGGUGGAUACUGUCGGGCUUGAGUACGGAAGAGGCGAGUGGAAUUCCUGGUGUAGCGGUGAAAUGCGCAGAUAUCUGGAGGAACACCGGAGGCGAAAGCGGUCCACUGGGCAACUUCUGACGCUGAGGUGCGAAAGCUAGGGUAGCAAACGGG